RNAcentral lists this ribosomal RNA (270 nucleotides) under uncultured archaeon. RNAcentral describes it as "partial 16S ribosomal RNA". It matches the Rfam family "Archaeal small subunit ribosomal RNA", at positions 477 to 747 of the family's 1478-position model. The record is from RNAcentral.
CAGCACCUCAAGUGGUCAGGAUGAUUAUUGGGCCUAAAGCAUCCGUAGCCGGCGCUGUAAGUUUUCGGUUAAAUCUGUACGCUCAACGUACAGGCGGCCGGGCAUACUGCAGCGCUAGGGAGUGGGAGAGGUAGACGGUACUCGGUAGGAAGGGGUAAAAUCCUUUGAUCUAUUGAUGACCACCUGUGGCGAAGGCGGUCUACCAGAACACGUCCGACGGUGAGGGAUGAAAGCUGGGGGAGCAAACCGGAUUAGAGACCCGAGUAGUCC